RNAcentral lists this ribosomal RNA (469 nucleotides) under Virgibacillus profundi. RNAcentral's name for it is "bacterial SSU rRNA". It matches the Rfam family "Bacterial small subunit ribosomal RNA", at positions 335 to 796 of the family's 1533-position model. The record is from RNAcentral. Lineage: Bacteria; Bacillati; Bacillota; Bacilli; Caryophanales; Bacillaceae.
ACUCCUACGGGAGGCAGCAGUAGGGAAUCUUCGGCAAUGGGGGCAACCCUGACCGAGCAACGCCGCGUGAGUGAAGAAGGUUUUCGGAUCGUAAAGCUCUGUUGUAAGAGAAGAACGUGUGUGAGAGUGGAAAGUUCACACAGUGACGGUAUCUUACCAGAAAGGGACGGCUAACUACGUGCCAGCAGCCGCGGUAAUACGUAGGUCCCGAGCGUUGUCCGGAUUUAUUGGGCGUAAAGCGAGCGCAGGCGGUUUGAUAAGUCUGAAGUUAAAGGCUGUGGCUCAACCAUAGUUCGCUUUGGAAACUGUCAAACUUGAGUGCAGAAGGGGAGAGUGGAAUUCCAUGUGUAGCGGUGAAAUGCGUAGAUAUAUGGAGGAACACCGGUGGCGAAAGCGGCUCUCUGGUCUGUAACUGACGCUGAGGCUCGAAAGCGUGGGGAGCGAACAGGAUUAGAUACCCAUGUAGUCC